Molecule: ribosomal RNA, 459 nt
Filed under: uncultured bacterium
Lineage: Bacteria
Description: partial 16S ribosomal RNA
Rfam family: Bacterial small subunit ribosomal RNA
Source: RNAcentral
CCUACGGGCGGCAGCAGUGAGGAAUAUUGGUCAAUGGCCGGAAGGCUGAACCAGCCAAGCCGCGUGAAGGACGAAGGUGCCAAGCAUUGUAAACUUCUUUUGUCAAGGGACAAAAUCAGGCUCGAGAGCCUGACCGAGGGUACUUGAAGAAAAAGCAUCGGCUAACUCCGUGCCAGCAGCCGCGGUAAUAGGGGGGAUGCGAGCGUUAUCCGGAUUUAUGGGGUUAAAAGGGUGCGUAGGGGGACUGUUAAGUCAGCGGUAAAAGCCCGGGGCUCAACCCCGGCGAGCCGUUGAAACGGGCUGUCUUGAGAUGUCGAGAGGUAUGCGGAAUGCGCAGUGUAGCGGUGAAAUGCUUAGAUAUUGCGCAGAACUCCGAUGGCGAAGGCAGCAUACCGGCGGCGAUCUGACGCUGAGGCACGAAAGCGUGGGUAUCGAACAGGAUUAGAUACCCCUGUAGUC